UGUGUCGACGGAUCGAUGCGGCGCUCAAGGAGGAGCGUGAACAGGACAUCGCAGGAUGCGAUUCAUCAGGAUGAUGAAAAGGAAAAAAGGGACUAGGGAAAAAUGUGGGCGGGUCAAACCGCCCCUUUUUUU
This 132-nucleotide small RNA is filed under the name Pseudomonas taetrolens. The record is from RNAcentral. Lineage: Bacteria; Pseudomonadati; Pseudomonadota; Gammaproteobacteria; Pseudomonadales; Pseudomonadaceae.